UAACCUGCCCAAGAGAUCGGGAUAACACCUGGAAACAGAUGCUAAUACCGGAUAACAAUAGAUGAUGCCUAUCAACUGUUUAAAAGAUGGUUCUGCUAUCACUCUUGGAUGGACCUGCGGUGCAUUAGCUAAUUGGUAGGGUAACGGCCUACCAAGGCGAUGAUGCAUAGCCGAGUUGAGAGACUGAUCGGCCACAUUGGGACUGAGACACGGCCCAAACUCCUACGGGAGGAAGCAGCU
RNAcentral lists this ribosomal RNA (240 nucleotides) under uncultured Lactobacillus sp. Its description in RNAcentral is "partial 16S ribosomal RNA". It matches the Rfam family "Bacterial small subunit ribosomal RNA", at positions 122 to 355 of the family's 1533-position model. The record is from RNAcentral. Lineage: Bacteria; Bacillati; Bacillota; Bacilli; Lactobacillales; Lactobacillaceae.